Piliocolobus tephrosceles (Ugandan red Colobus) is the source of this 1342-nucleotide long non-coding RNA. RefSeq lists it as uncharacterized. The record is from RefSeq and is a predicted model, not a curated record. The transcript has 3 exons. NCBI's taxonomy places the organism in Eukaryota, Metazoa, Chordata, Mammalia, Primates, Cercopithecidae.
GGUCUUACUCAAGCAGCUCCUAGUUGCUGGUGGGGCUGUCCGGAAAUCCUGCUGAUCUCAGAUAGCCCUGAACAACCUGAAGUUAAAGGCGCCCAGGACAGAGAAGUACCCUCAGAGGGGCGUGAAGGAGGGUGGAGCAGGCACUGGAACCAUGAACUUUUGGUAGUAACCUGGUGCCAGAGGGCUAAGCCUGUACACCAAGCAUCUUAUGUCAUCUUCUCGGCAAUCCUCAGAGAAUAGGAGCCCAGGCCAGGGGCUGAGGGAGACACAGAGAAGAUGAGGUCCUUGCUGGUAAGGGACACACUCGAAGUGCGGGAGGCAGAACCGAGAACAGCCAGAUCGAAUGUGAGGUUGAAGAGUGAAAUGGCCGGUGACGAUAAUAACGGGGAGAUAAUAACAGCGCCGCGCCCCUCCCCUCCCGGCCGUGUGCCAGGCGCUGCACCAGGCACAUGACACACAUCUCCUCUUCUAGUCUUCACAAUGGCCAUGAGGCAUUUCCUUCCCUUCUUCUGGUACCAUCGACUGUCCUAUAAUAUUCAUUUCGGGUGAUUUGAGAGGCUGACCUAACCAGGCCAGUGCGGCUCAAGAGUGGAACUCCAGCUGGAACUCUUAGUGGAGAAGUCUCAGCUGCAACUACUAUUUGCAAGGAUGGAUGGGCCCAGGACCGUGGGGCAUCGCAUGGGGAAGGCCUGCCUGGAAGUUAGACCAACACAGAGCAGAAAGCAGGGCCACAGGAUGGAGAAACAGAGGCCGCAUCUGGUCUCACUGAGGCCUUGUAUCCAGCUGUGCCCAGAGCUACCCUGGACCUGUUAGUUGUACAAACCAAUAGAUUCCCUCUGCGCUAUGGCCAGUUCGUUUCUGUCACUUUGACCUGAAGAGCGCUGACUAAUGGAGGUAGAGCUCUCAGGCCUGUUUUUAUCACCAUCUAGGGGAAGCUGGGGAACACCUAUGUGUUUUAUAAAAGUACUAGGGCCUAGAGCAGUGUUUUUCCAAGUGCAGGCCACAAAAAACAAAUACCAGCAUCACUCUGAUACUAAACUUGAUGAAAACGCACAUUCCUGGGCCCCAACUUCCAAAUCAGAAUCUUGGGCAGUGAGGCCUAGGACUCUGCAUUUUGUCUAACACUCCAGGGGAUCUUCAGGGCACCCAAUUUGGGAACCAGUGGCUGAAUUAGGUGACCUGGGAUCCGAUCUAGCUCAGAGCCUGCCACCAACUUGGAUAUCAAAACAGGUCCCUGGGCUGGGUGAGGCAGCUCAUGCCUGUAAUCCCAGCACUUUGGGAGGCCGAGGUGGGCAGAUUACCUGGGGUCAGGAGUUCAAGACCAGCCUGGUCAACAUGGUGA